AAUAAGUUCAUUUACAGUUUUUGAAAUACAAUGUUUGAUUCUUCGUCUUAUUUGAAAUUUUUUUGAUUAAUAUUUCUAUUUUUACUAGAUGAUAAAACAUGAAUAGUACUUUACGCAUGAUUAAUUUUUUAAGUUUUUCUACAAAUUUUUCAAAUAAGACAAAUGGUCAAACUUUGGGCAUAGAAAUCGAAAAAUGAACUUACU
Oryza brachyantha (malo sina) is the source of this 204-nucleotide non-coding RNA. NCBI's taxonomy places the organism in Eukaryota, Viridiplantae, Streptophyta, Magnoliopsida, Poales, Poaceae. The record is from Rfam.